GCUGCUAUGGCUCAGUCGGUAGAGCGUUACCUUGGUAAGGUAGAGGUCACGGGUUCGAGUCCCGUUAGCAGCU
Molecule: transfer RNA, 73 nt
Filed under: Anaerotignum sp.
Lineage: Bacteria; Bacillati; Bacillota; Clostridia; Lachnospirales; Anaerotignaceae
Description: tRNA-Thr
Rfam family: tRNA
About the family: Transfer RNA (tRNA) molecules are approximately 80 nucleotides in length.
Source: RNAcentral